Molecule: long non-coding RNA, 359 nt
Filed under: Heterocephalus glaber (naked mole-rat)
Lineage: Eukaryota; Metazoa; Chordata; Mammalia; Rodentia; Bathyergidae
Description: lncRNA (ENSHGLG00100046657.1)
Source: RNAcentral
CAUGAGUUCAAGGCCAGCCUGAACUCCAUAGGAAGACCCUGCCUGUCUCAAAAAGCAAAUGAAGUAAGAGGCCACUUUCCUUUCCCCGCACACCGAAGGGCGGCUGAGUCAAAGCACAGGGGAAGCAGCUGGCGGGUCUCACUAUGUGACCCAGGCUGGGCUCAAACUCAUGGUAAUCCUCCUGCCUCCGCCUCCUGAGUGCUGAGAUUACAGAAUGGAGCCCGAGGGGCCCUGAUUUGCUGCAGUAUGAUCCUGUCGCUCACCCCCAUCAGCAGGUAGACCACAGCAUUUCCUAAGCCCAGGUGUAUUCCAGCGGGGACAGGCUAGCCACACCUGUCACUCUCGGUGGCCGGCAGCCC